Dromiciops gliroides (monito del monte) is the source of this 386-nucleotide non-coding RNA. Lineage: Eukaryota; Metazoa; Chordata; Mammalia; Microbiotheria; Microbiotheriidae. The record is from the annotation of a RefSeq genome assembly.
GCAGGUGUCUGAAGGCCAGGAUGGUCUCCCCAUGGCAGCUCCUCUGGCUUCUGGUGCUCUGGGCUCAGGAUUCCCAAGGAGCCAUUGUGCUGACCCAGUCUCCAGCCUCCUUGUCUGGAUCUCCAGGAGAGAGAGUCACCAUCAGCUGCAAGGCCAGUGAGAGUAUAUAUAGCAGCCUUCAUUGGUACCAGCAGAAACCAGGCCAAGCCCCCAGGCUCCUCAUCUCCUAUGCUAACAGGCUGGCAUCUGGAGUGCCUGCCUGCUUCAGUGGCAGUGGGUCUGGGACAGAUUUCACUCUCACCAUCAGCAGCUUGGAGCCUGAGGAUGCUGGAGAUUAUUACUGUCAGCAGGAACAUAACUGGCCUCCCACAGUGCUUCAGGCCUGA